AUUGAACGCUGGCGGCAGGCCUAACACAUGCAAGUCGAGCGGAUGAAGGGGGCUUGCUCCUGGAUUCAGCGGCGGACGGGUGAGUAAUGCCUAGGAAUCUGCCUGGUAGUGGGGGAUAACGUCCGGAAACGGGCGCUAAUACCGCAUACGUCCUGAGGGAGAAAGUGGGGGAUCUUCGGACCUCACGCUAUCAGAUGAGCCUAGGUCGGAUUAGCUAGUUGGUGGGGUAAAGGCCUACCAAGGCGACGAUCCGUAACUGGUCUGAGAGGAUGAUCAGGCACACUGGAACUGAGACACGGUCCAGACUCCUACGGGAGGCAGCAGUGGGGAAUCUUGGACAAUGGGCGAAAGCCUGAUCCAGCCACGCCGCGUGUGUGAAGAAGGUCUUCGGAUUGUAAAGCACUUUAAGUUGGGAGGAAGGGAAGUAAGUGAAUACAUUGAUGUUUUGACGUUACCAACAGAAUAAGCACCGGCUAACUUCGUG
This 484-nucleotide ribosomal RNA is filed under the name uncultured bacterium. Its description in RNAcentral is "partial 16S ribosomal RNA". It matches the Rfam family "Bacterial small subunit ribosomal RNA", at positions 30 to 507 of the family's 1533-position model. The record is from RNAcentral.